AACGCUCUUCAUUGUGCUCUUAAUUCAAACGAGUUCAAUUGGAUUUCUACGUGCAAAAUUGUAAAAAAAUGGGAACAAAUUAGCUAUUGUUCAUAAGAGGACAAACCAAGUAAAAGAAUCCAAUUCGACCUUCCGCAUUUUUGAACAAGACUCGAUUCAACCAAACUUCCAGCCAUAAGGCAGGAUGCUGGCCUCGUUAUGCCAACAAUUGCAUAUUAUUUGUUCCGAAUAAAAUAAAUCAGAAGAAUACUCUAACACAUCACA
Molecule: long non-coding RNA, 264 nt
Filed under: Ananas comosus (pineapple)
Lineage: Eukaryota; Viridiplantae; Streptophyta; Magnoliopsida; Poales; Bromeliaceae
Description: long non-coding RNA (ACOM_LNC009498)
Source: RNAcentral